Molecule: ribosomal RNA, 934 nt
Filed under: Massaria ulmi
Lineage: Eukaryota; Fungi; Ascomycota; Dothideomycetes; Pleosporales; Massariaceae
Description: eukaryotic LSU rRNA
Rfam family: Eukaryotic large subunit ribosomal RNA
Source: RNAcentral
UUGACCUCGGAUCAGGUAGGGAUACCCGCUGAACUUAAGCAUAUCAAUAAGCGGAGGAAAAGAAACCAACAGGGAUUGCCCUAGUAACGGCGAGUGAAGCGGCAAGAGCUCAAAUUUGAAAUCUGGCUCCCCGUUUGGGGGGUCCGAGUUGUAAUUUGUAGAGGGUGCUUCGGCGUUGGCCUUGGUCCAAGUUCUUUGGAACAGGACGUCAUAGAGGGUGAGAACCCCGUACGUGGCCAGCGGUCUUCGCCAUGUGAAGCCCCUUCGACGAGUCGAGUUGUUUGGGAAUGCAGCUCUAAAUGGGAGGUAUAUUUCUUCUAAAGCUAAAUACUGGCCAGAGACCGAUAGCGCACAAGUAGAGUGAUCGAAAGAUGAAAAGCACUUUGGAAAGAGAGUUAAAAAGCACGUGAAAUUGUUGAAAGGGAAGCGCUUGCAACCAGACUUGCCGGCAGUUGCUCAUCCAGGCCUUUUGGCCUGGUGCACUCUUCUGCCGGCAGGCCAGUAUCAGUUCGGGCGGCUGGAUAAAGACGUUGGGAAUGUAGCUCUCCUCGGAGAGUGUUAUAGCCCGGCGUGCAAUACAGCCAGCCUGGACUGAGGUCCGCGCUUCGGCUAGGAUACUGGCGUAAUGGUUGUAAGCGGCCCGUCUUGAAACACGGACCAAGGAGUCUAACAUCUAUGCGAGUGUUUGGGUGUCAAGCCCGGGCGCGUAAUGAAAGUGAACGGAGGUAGGAACCUUUUCUAAGGCGCACUAUCGACCGAUCCUGAUGUCUUCGGAUGGAUUUGAGUAAGAGCAUAGCUGUUGGGACCCGAAAGAUGGUGAACUAUGCCUGAAUAGGGUGAAGUCAGAGGAAACUCUGAUGGAGGCUCGCAGCGGUUCUGACGUGCAAAUCGAUCGUCAAAUUUGGGCAUAGGGGCGAAAGACUAAUCGAACCAU